This 437-nucleotide unclassified non-coding RNA is filed under the name Hevea brasiliensis (rubber tree). Lineage: Eukaryota; Viridiplantae; Streptophyta; Magnoliopsida; Malpighiales; Euphorbiaceae. The record is from RNAcentral.
UAGUUAGUAGGCACAAUGGUUUCCAUUUUAUAUCCAAUAAAUUAUAGUAAUCUGGAUUCUGGAAUGUUGCAAAAAAAAUGGAAACCAUUGUGCCUACUAACUAAAGCAAAGCAACAACAUAACCAAACUCAAGUCAGUUUAGAAUAACUAACAAUGUAUUCAAAUAAAAGAGUACUGGUUGGCAUGCACACAAAGAUGAAAGGUACUUCUCGCCUACUGAGAUAUUCAACAGGAUAAUAGGCAGCCACAAUAACAACUUUGCCCUUUUGAAUUUGAACAGCAACCAUCUCAACGACGAGGCAUAUGGGUCUUAUCCCAUGAAGCAGGACCAGGGCCAUACAAAGGACCCUUGUCAGCAGCAACCACAUGAACCCCAUAUCGAUCCCCAUAAGGUGCAGGAAUUCCCCUCUCUGGAUUACCGAACUUCAUCCCAUAUG